UGAGAAUUCGUCCGCUCCCGAGGCUGAGC
This 29-nucleotide non-coding RNA is filed under the name Callithrix jacchus (white-tufted-ear marmoset). RNAcentral also lists the same sequence under 3 other names. Lineage: Eukaryota; Metazoa; Chordata; Mammalia; Primates; Cebidae. The record is from RNAcentral.